Molecule: ribosomal RNA, 1369 nt
Filed under: uncultured bacterium
Lineage: Bacteria
Description: bacterial SSU rRNA
Rfam family: Bacterial small subunit ribosomal RNA
Source: RNAcentral
GACGAACGCUGGCGGCAUGCCUAAUACAUGCAAGUCGAACGCCAAAUCUUCCUGCUUGCAGGAAGAGGCGGAGUGGCGAACGGGUGAGUAACACGUGAGGAACUUGCCCAUAAGAGGGGGAUAACACCCGGAAACGGGUGCUAAUACCGCAUAGGUUUUCCCAGUGCAUGCUGGGAAAAUAAAAGGUGGCUCUGCUACCGCUUAUGGAUAGCCUCGCGGCGCAUUAGCUAGUUGGUAAGGUAAAGGCCUACCAAGGCCAUGAUGCGUAGCCGACUUGAGAGGGUGAUCGGCCACACUGGAACUGAGACACGGUCCAGACUCCUACGGGAGGCAGCAGUAGGGAAUCUUCCACAAUGGGUGCAAGCCUGAUGGAGCAAUGCCGCGUGAGUGAAGAAGGACUUCGGUUCGUAAAGCUCUGUUGUUGGGGAAGAACACGGAUAGGAGUCACUGCCUAUCCCUUGACGGUACCCAACCAGAAAGUCACGGCUAACUACGUGCCAGCAGCCGCGGUAAUACGUAGGUGACAAGCGUUGUCCGGAUUUAUUGGGCGUAAAGCGAGCGCAGGCGGUUAGAUAAGUCUGAAGUUAAGGCUGUGGCUUAACCAUAGUACGCUUUGGAAACUGUUUAACUUGAGUGCAAGAGGGGAGAGUGGAAUUCCAUGUGUAGCGGUGAAAUGCGUAGAUAUAUGGAGGAACACCGGUGGCGAAAGCGGCUCUCUGGCUUGUAACUGACGCUGAGGCUCGAAAGCGUGGGGAGCAAACAGGAUUAGAUACCCUGGUAGUCCACGCCGUAAACGAUGAGUGCUAGGUGUUAGACCCUUUCCGGGGUUUAGUGCCGCAGCUAACGCAUUAAGCACUCCGCCUGGGGAGUACGACCGCAAGGUUGAAACUCAAAGGAAUUGACGGGGGCCCGCACAAGCGGUGGAGCAUGUGGUUUAAUUCGAAGCAACGCGAAGAACCUUACCAGGUCUUGACAUCCCUCUGACCGCUCUAGAGAUAGAGUUUUCCCUUCGGGGACAGAAUGACAGGUGGUGCAUGGUUGUCGUCAGCUCGUGUCGUGAGAUGUUGGGUUAAGUCCCGUAACGAGCGCAACCCUUAUUGUUAGUUGCCAGCAUUGAGUUGGGCACUCUAGCAAGACUGCCGGUGAUAAACCGGAGGAAGGCGGGGAUGACGUCAAAUCAUCAUGCCCCUUAUGAGCUGGGCUACACACGUGCUACAAUGGAUGGUACAACGAGUGGCGAGACCGCGAGGUUUAGCUAAUCUCCCAAAGCCAUUCUCAGUUCGGAUUGCAGGCUGCAACUCGCCUGCAUGAAGUCGGAAUCGCUAGUAAUCGCGGAUCAGAAUGCCGCGGUGAAUUCGUUCCCGGGUCU